GAGACUCUGUGCGCGUGCAUAUCAAUAAGCGGAGGAAAAGAAACUAACAAGGAUUCCCUUAGUAACGGCGAGUGAAGCGGGAAGAGCUCAAAUUUGAAAUCUUCAAGGUUCUACCUUGACGAAUUGUAGUUUAUAGAAGUGUUUUCUGUUAGUGAGUGGCUAAAAGUUCUUUGGAAUAGGACAUCAUAGAGGGUGAGAAUCCCGUAUUUGGUCAUUCCUCCUAGCGUUGUGAUACACUUUCAACGAGUCGGAUUGUUUGGGAAUGCAGUCCAAAAUGGGUGGUAAAUUUCAUCUAAAGCUAAAUAUUGGCGAGAGACCGAUAGCGAACAAGUACCGUGAGGGAAAGAUGAAAAGAACUUUGAAAAGAGAGGUUAAACAGUACGUGAAAUUGUCAAAAGGGAAGCGUUUGACACCAGUGUUGUUUUUCCGAAAAUCAAUUACGAAUGUUUUAGUUUUUGAGGAAGUUAUGACUUCAUCGGCUUGCUCCUUUCUUUAUGAAACUUUCUUAAUGCACUUUUCGGUUAACAAGUCAACAUCAAUUUCUUUUGUUGUAAAAGGGUAUGAGGAAGGUGGCUUUCUUUUCGGAGAAAGUGUUUAUAGCCUUGUGCCUCUGCAAUCGGAGAGAUUGAGGUCUGCAGCGUAGAUCCUUCGGGGUUAGAUACAUUUGUGCUAAGUUAUAGCUUUUCAUAGACAACUUGUUGACUAUGUUUAGUCUUGUAGCUUACUCGCUGACGCUAUUUUACCUACGCUUAGGAUGUUGACAGCAGUAUAGACUGU
This 777-nucleotide ribosomal RNA is filed under the name uncultured Neocallimastigales. Its description in RNAcentral is "partial large subunit ribosomal RNA". It matches the Rfam family "Eukaryotic large subunit ribosomal RNA", at positions 23 to 635 of the family's 3401-position model. Lineage: Eukaryota; Fungi; Neocallimastigomycota; Neocallimastigomycetes; Neocallimastigales. The record is from RNAcentral.